Molecule: long non-coding RNA, 2195 nt
Organism: Macaca mulatta (Rhesus monkey)
Lineage: Eukaryota; Metazoa; Chordata; Mammalia; Primates; Cercopithecidae
Source: RefSeq, a predicted model, not a curated record
GGCCAUGAUCAGGCACAGCAGUUGUGCUGGGUUUUGGGGAAUUCCUCCCAGUCCCCAGUGCUGGCCUGUUAGAAUGGCCUACUCCAGCUGCAGGUAUGGUGGCUACCCCUCCCACUGGAAACUCAGUCUGUCUCAGGUUGCUGUCUCAGUCUGUCCAGCCUGCUGCCACUGGCCGGCUGGAAUUCUAAGCCAGUGGGUCUUAAUUUGUGCGGUGCCGUGGGAGUGGGGCCCACAGAACAACACUGCUUGGCUUCCUGGAUUCAGCCUCCUUCUUAGAGGAAUGCACGGAAUCUCUCACCUUGCCUGCAUUCUUGUGGCCGGAGUAUGCAAAACUCCUGGGUGCCUGAGCAAGCAAGUAAGUGAGCAGCUGCUCAGCUGAGACUGUGCACAGCUCUGUGCUUUGGAUCCAAGGCCCUUGUGAUGUGGGCUCAAGAGGGGAUCUCUUGAUCCAUGAGUUGCAAAGAUCCAUAGGGAAAGAGUGGUUUCCUGGGCAGGAUUGCAUAAUCAGUCACUGCCUCCCUUGGCUAGGGGCAUGGACUUCCCUGGUUCCAUGGGACUCCUGGGUGUGCUGUCGCCCUACCCUGCUUUUCCUCACUCUCUGUGGGUCAAGCCAUCUGCCUAGUCAGUCCCAAUGUGAGAACCUGGAUCCUCAGGUUGAAGGUGCAGAAUUCACUGGCCAUUUUGUGAGAGCUGAGACUGCAACUGCUUCUAAUGAGCCAUCUUUGUCCCUCCUCCAAAUUUGGUUUUCUAAGAAUUAAGUUUCUUUUGUCAAGAAGUAUCACAGAAUUGAAAAGCAAAGAACACAUAUGAAAAGCAAAGAACACAUAUAAAAUAUGACAAUAUAAAAAUAUAUUUGUCAUACUUAGGACAGCAUUUUAUAUAUAUAAAUAUGUGUGCAUCUGUCUAGCUAGGUAGUACUAAGACAUAUCAACCUGAAAAUUAAUAUGAAAAAUAGGAAACUUCGUGAAAAAUUUGUCAAAGAAAAUGAAUAGGGAGCUCACAAAAUUGCUAGUUCUGAUCAGUGAACAUUAAAGAAUGCUGAACCUUAUUAGUAAAAUAAAUUCAAAUUGAAGGUAAAAUUAUCUCUUGCUUAUCAGUUGUUAAGAAUUAAAAUUAUUAAAACACCCAGUUUUGGCAACAGUGUGUUAAAAGACAUUCUUUCAUGUAGCCCUGGAAGAUGCAUUGGUGGCACAAAGUUUCUGGAAAGCUAUUUGGCAAUGUGUCAACAUUAAUAUAUCCAUUGACCCAGCAUUUCUACCUUAAGGGUUUACUCAGAAAAUACCUAAACACACAAAGAUGUGCACAUCAUAAGUAUAAGAAUAUACAUUGCAGUUUUAUUUAUAAUUGUAGCAAAUGUGCUAAUAAAUUACAUUUUUCAAUUUAGAAAAUUGUAAGACAUGGGGUAACAAAAUUAUGCCACAUCACUGCAAUAUUGCAUUGCUGUGUACAUUGUAAUUAUGCAGCCAUUUUAAAAGAUGAGCUAGAUCGAUACAUCUUGUCUUGGAAAGAUGCUGUACUGUAUUAUUAAAUGCAGGAUAAUACAUUUAAAAAUUGCUCAAGUUUUAUAAAUAUGUCUCUCUCUAUAUAUUUGUAUAUAGAAGCACAGAAAAUAUUCAGAAGAAAAGACACCAGCCUGCUACCAGUGGAUAUCUCUGGGUCUAUGGGUCCAUGAAGAGACAAAGGCCUUUUGUUUGGGGCUUUUCAGCAGUGAGAUGACUCCCCCUCAUUCCUGAACCUCACCCAGUUCCAUUCUGUAGAGGAAAAUGAAACACUGGGAAGCUGGAGCCCCUUUGCACUUCUUGCUUGCAUUGAGCCAAAAGACAUCAUUUUAAAUAAAUAAGCCAAGUAGUGGAGGAAUAUGUAUAUUUAACAACACAAAACACAUAAUGAGAAGGCAAAAACCAAACUGUUGUGACAGAGGAGAAAGGUAAGGAGAAAGGGGGCACUUUGUCAAUUAGUCAUUGAUGAGAGUGGGGAAUUACCAAAAUCAGACCCACAAAAGUUUCCUGAUACUAUAUUAUUUUGAAAUAGAAGAUUCAGAUGAUUAUUGAUAUUAUAAAAAAACCACAAAGUAACCAUUAGAAGAAAAAUACAGACUUUCCAAUUAUCAGAAGAAGCACAUACACCCGAACAAAACAAACAGCCCAAUAGUCUCAGUUUUAAAAAACGAAUUAUAAAACAGAAAGUAUGUCACA